RNAcentral lists this ribosomal RNA (2930 nucleotides) under Escherichia coli. RNAcentral describes it as "23S ribosomal RNA". It matches the Rfam family "Bacterial large subunit ribosomal RNA". Lineage: Bacteria; Pseudomonadati; Pseudomonadota; Gammaproteobacteria; Enterobacterales; Enterobacteriaceae. The record is from RNAcentral.
GGGUUGUGAGGUUAAGCGACUAAGCGUACACGGUGGAUGCCCUGGCAGUCAGAGGCGAUGAAGGACGUGCUAAUCUGCGAUAAGCGUCGGUAAGGUGAUAUGAACCGUUAUAACCGGCGAUUUCCGAAUGGGGAAACCCAGUGUGUUUCGACACACUAUCAUUAACUGAAUCCAUAGGUUAAUGAGGCGAACCGGGGGAACUGAAACAUCUAAGUACCCCGAGGAAAAGAAAUCAACCGAGAUUCCCCCAGUAGCGGCGAGCGAACGGGGAGCAGCCCAGAGCCUGAAUCAGUGUGUGUGUUAGUGGAAGCGUCUGGAAAGGCGCGCGAUACAGGGUGACAGCCCCGUACACAAAAAUGCACAUGCUGUGAGCUCGAUGAGUAGGGCGGGACACGUGGUAUCCUGUCUGAAUAUGGGGGGACCAUCCUCCAAGGCUAAAUACUCCUGACUGACCGAUAGUGAACCAGUACCGUGAGGGAAAGGCGAAAAGAACCCCGGCGAGGGGAGUGAAAAAGAACCUGAAACCGUGUACGUACAAGCAGUGGGAGCACGCUUAGGCGUGUGACUGCGUACCUUUUGUAUAAUGGGUCAGCGACUUAUAUUCUGUAGCAAGGUUAACCGAAUAGGGGAGCCGAAGGGAAACCGAGUCUUAACUGGGCGUUAAGUUGCAGGGUAUAGACCCGAAACCCGGUGAUCUAGCCAUGGGCAGGUUGAAGGUUGGGUAACACUAACUGGAGGACCGAACCGACUAAUGUUGAAAAAUUAGCGGAUGACUUGUGGCUGGGGGUGAAAGGCCAAUCAAACCGGGAGAUAGCUGGUUCUCCCCGAAAGCUAUUUAGGUAGCGCCUCGUGAACUCAUCUCCGGGGGUAGAGCACUGUUUCGGCAAGGGGGUCAUCCCGACUUACCAACCCGAUGCAAACUGCGAAUACCGGAGAAUGUUAUCACGGGAGACACACGGCGGGUGCUAACGUCCGUCGUGAAGAGGGAAACAACCCAGACCGCCAGCUAAGGUCCCAAAGUCAUGGUUAAGUGGGAAACGAUGUGGGAAGGCCCAGACAGCCAGGAUGUUGGCUUAGAAGCAGCCAUCAUUUAAAGAAAGCGUAAUAGCUCACUGGUCGAGUCGGCCUGCGCGGAAGAUGUAACGGGGCUAAACCAUGCACCGAAGCUGCGGCAGCGACGCUUAUGCGUUGUUGGGUAGGGGAGCGUUCUGUAAGCCUGUGAAGGUGUACUGUGAGGUAUGCUGGAGGUAUCAGAAGUGCGAAUGCUGACAUAAGUAACGAUAAAGCGGGUGAAAAGCCCGCUCGCCGGAAGACCAAGGGUUCCUGUCCAACGUUAAUCGGGGCAGGGUGAGUCGACCCCUAAGGCGAGGCCGAAAGGCGUAGUCGAUGGGAAACAGGUUAAUAUUCCUGUACUUGGUGUUACUGCGAAGGGGGGACGGAGAAGGCUAUGUUGGCCGGGCGACGGUUGUCCCGGUUUAAGCGUGUAGGCUGGUUUUCCAGGCAAAUCCGGAAAAUCAAGGCUGAGGCGUGAUGACGAGGCACUACGGUGCUGAAGCAACAAAUGCCCUGCUUCCAGGAAAAGCCUCUAAGCAUCAGGUAACAUCAAAUCGUACCCCAAACCGACACAGGUGGUCAGGUAGAGAAUACCAAGGCGCUUGAGAGAACUCGGGUGAAGGAACUAGGCAAAAUGGUGCCGUAACUUCGGGAGAAGGCACGCUGAUAUGUAGGUGAAGCGACUUGCUCGUGGAGCUGAAAUCAGUCGAAGAUACCAGCUGGCUGCAACUGUUUAUUAAAAACACAGCACUGUGCAAACACGAAAGUGGACGUAUACGGUGUGACGCCUGCCCGGUGCCGGAAGGUUAAUUGAUGGGGUCAGCGCAAGCGAAGCUCUUGAUCGAAGCCCCGGUAAACGGCGGCCGUAACUAUAACGGUCCUAAGGUAGCGAAAUUCCUUGUCGGGUAAGUUCCGACCUGCACGAAUGGCGUAAUGAUGGCCAGGCUGUCUCCACCCGAGACUCAGUGAAAUUGAACUCGCUGUGAAGAUGCAGUGUACCCGCGGCAAGACGGAAAGACCCCGUGAACCUUUACUAUAGCUUGACACUGAACAUUGAGCCUUGAUGUGUAGGAUAGGUGGGAGGCUUUGAAGUGUGGACGCCAGUCUGCAUGGAGCCGACCUUGAAAUACCACCCUUUAAUGUUUGAUGUUCUAACGUUGACCCGUAAUCCGGGUUGCGGACAGUGUCUGGUGGGUAGUUUGACUGGGGCGGUCUCCUCCUAAAGAGUAACGGAGGAGCACGAAGGUUGGCUAAUCCUGGUCGGACAUCAGGAGGUUAGUGCAAUGGCAUAAGCCAGCUUGACUGCGAGCGUGACGGCGCGAGCAGGUGCGAAAGCAGGUCAUAGUGAUCCGGUGGUUCUGAAUGGAAGGGCCAUCGCUCAACGGAUAAAAGGUACUCCGGGGAUAACAGGCUGAUACCGCCCAAGAGUUCAUAUCGACGGCGGUGUUUGGCACCUCGAUGUCGGCUCAUCACAUCCUGGGGCUGAAGUAGGUCCCAAGGGUAUGGCUGUUCGCCAUUUAAAGUGGUACGCGAGCUGGGUUUAGAACGUCGUGAGACAGUUCGGUCCCUAUCUGCCGUGGGCGCUGGAGAACUGAGGGGGGCUGCUCCUAGUACGAGAGGACCGGAGUGGACGCAUCACUGGUGUUCGGGUUGUCAUGCCAAUGGCACUGCCCGGUAGCUAAAUGCGGAAGAGAUAAGUGCUGAAAGCAUCUAAGCACGAAACUUGCCCCGAGAUGAGUUCUCCCUGACUCCUUGAGAGUCCUGAAGGAACGUUGAAGACGACGACGUUGAUAGGCCGGGUGUGUAAGCGCAGCGAUGCGUUGAGCUAACCGGUACUAAUGAACCGUGAGGCUUAACCUUACAACGCCGAAGCUGUU